RNAcentral lists this ribosomal RNA (501 nucleotides) under uncultured bacterium. RNAcentral's name for it is "partial 16S ribosomal RNA". It matches the Rfam family "Bacterial small subunit ribosomal RNA", at positions 30 to 523 of the family's 1533-position model. The record is from RNAcentral.
AUUGAACGCUGGCGGCAGGCUUAACACAUGCAAGUCGAGCGGGGUGAUGGUGCUUGCACCUUAUCUUAGCGGCGGACGGGUGAGUAAUGCUUAGGAAUCUGCCUAUUAGUGGGGACCACAUUCCCAAAGGAAUGCUAAUACCGCAAUCGUCCCACGGGAGAAAGCAGGGGAACUUUCGGCCCUGCGCUAAUAGAUGGGACCAAGGUCGGAUUAGCUAGUUGGUGGGGUAAAGGCCUACCAAGGGGACGAUCUGUAGCGGGUCUGAGAGGAUGAUCCGCCACACUGGGACUGAGACACGGCCCAGACUCCUACGGGAGGCAGCAGUGGGGAAUAUUGGACAAUGGGGGGAACCCUGAUCCAGCCAUGCCGCGUGUGUGAAGAAGGCCUUAUGGUUGUAAAGCACUUUAAGCGAGGAGGAGGCUACUGAGACUAAUACUCUUGGAUAGUGGACGUUACUCGCAGAAUAAGCACCGGCUAACUCUGUGCCAGCCGCCGCAGUAA